RNAcentral lists this ribosomal RNA (497 nucleotides) under uncultured bacterium. RNAcentral describes it as "partial 16S ribosomal RNA". It matches the Rfam family "Bacterial small subunit ribosomal RNA", at positions 28 to 507 of the family's 1533-position model. The record is from RNAcentral.
GAUGAACGCUGGCGGCGUGCCUAAUACAUGCAAGUCGAGCGAACGGACGAGAAGCUUGCUUCUCUGAUGUUAGCGGCGGACGGGUGUGUAACACGUGGAUAACCUACCUAUAAGACUGGGAUAACUUCGGGAAACCGGAGCUAAUACCGGAUAAUAUUUUGAACCGCAUGGUUCAAAAGUGAAAGACGGUCUUGCUGUCACUUAUAGAUGGAUCCGCGCUGCAUUAGCUAGUUGGUAAGGUAACGGCUUACCAAGGCAACGAUGCAUAGCCGACCUGAGAGGGUGAUCGGCCACACUGGAACUGAGACACGGUCCAGACUCCUACGGGAGGCAGCAGUAGGGAAUAUUCCGCAAUGGGCGAAAGCCUGACGGAGCAACGCCGCGUGAGUGAUGAAGGUCUUCGGAUCGUAAAACUCUGUUAUUAGGGAAGAACAUAUGUGUAAGUAACUGUGCACAUCUUGACGGUACCUAAUCAGAAAGCCACGGCUAACUACGUG